CUUGGUCAUUUAGAGGAAGUAAAAGUCGUAACAAGGUUUCCGUAGGUGAACCUGCGGAAGGAUCAUUAAUAAGGAUACCGGGCAACCGGUAACCCCACCCGUGUCUAUCUACUCUUGUUGCUUUGGCAGGCCGUGGUCUCCACGGCGGGCUCUGCCCGCUUGCGCCUGCCAGAGGACCAAACUCUGAAUUUUAGUGAUGUCUGAGUACUAUAUAAUAGUUAAAACUUUCAACAACGGAUCUCUUGGUUCUGGCAUCGAUGAAGAACGCAGCGAAAUGCGAUAAGUAAUGUGAAUUGCAGAAUUCAGUGAAUCAUCGAAUCUUUGAACGCACAUUGCGCCCGGUGGUAUUCCGCCGGGCAUGCCUGUUCGAGCGUCAUUAUAACCACUCAAGCCUGGCUUGGUAUUGGGGUACGCGGUUCCGUGGCCCCUAAAAUCAGUGGCGGUGCCGGUUGGCUCUAAGCGUAGUAAUACUCCUCGCUACAGACCCCUUCCGGUUCCCUGCCAGAACCCCCCCCAUUUUUACAGGUUGACCUCGGAUCAGGUAGGGAUACCCGCUGAACUUAAGCAUAUCAAUAAGCGGAGGA
Molecule: ribosomal RNA, 584 nt
Filed under: uncultured fungus
Lineage: Eukaryota; Fungi
Description: eukaryotic LSU rRNA
Rfam family: 5.8S ribosomal RNA (bases 223-376)
Source: RNAcentral